Molecule: ribosomal RNA, 101 nt
Filed under: Brevibacillus sp. SYP-B805
Lineage: Bacteria; Bacillati; Bacillota; Bacilli; Caryophanales; Paenibacillaceae
Description: partial 23S ribosomal RNA
Rfam family: Bacterial large subunit ribosomal RNA
Source: RNAcentral
AUGUGGUUAAGUUACUAAGGGCACACGGUGGAUGCCUUGGCGCUAGGAGCCGAAGAAGGACGCAGCGAACUGCGAUAAGCCUCGGGGAGCGGUAAGCACGC